Phodopus roborovskii (desert hamster) is the source of this 362-nucleotide long non-coding RNA. RefSeq lists it as uncharacterized. The transcript has 3 exons. The record is from RefSeq and is a predicted model, not a curated record. Lineage: Eukaryota; Metazoa; Chordata; Mammalia; Rodentia; Cricetidae.
AGAAUAUACUUGAUGAGCAACAAAAGCUUUAUGAGCAAUUCCAAGUUAUCCACAAGCAGAAAAUAGAAGAAUUUAAGGAGUUAUGUAGUCAACACUUGAAGAAUCUACGGGCUAUUAAGAGUUGUCGCCGAAAAGCUAUUAUCGAGGAAGCCAGAAAACAAAUGGACAUCUUGGAAAGGAAACUUACUACAGAAACUGUAAAGCUGCAGGAAGAAAAACCUGAUGCUAGAUCAUCUCUUCUAUCCCUGCUAUUCUCAUAACACCUUGAAGAAAGAAGCUCUCCCUGCUAUUCUCAUAACACCUUGAAGAAAGAAGCUCAACCACCAUCAUACGAUUUCAUCAAACUAUUAUCUGUGUGAAUC